GAUGAACGCUGGCGGCGUGCCUAAUACAUGCAAGUCGAGCGAACGGACGAGAAUUUUGCUUUUCUGAUGUUAGCGGCGGACGGGUGAGUAACACGUGGAUAACCUAUCUAUAAGACUGGGAUCACUUCGGGAAACCUGAGCUAAUACCGGAUAAUAUUUUGAACCGCAUGGUUCAAAAGUGAAAGACGGUCUUGCUGUCACUUAUAGAUGGAUCCGCGCUGCAUUAGCUAGUUGGUAAGGUAACGGCUUACCAAGGCAACGAUGCAUAGCCGACCUGAGAGGAUGAUCGGCCACACUGGAACUGAGACACGGUCCAGACUCCUACGGGAGGCAGCAGUAGGGAAUCUUCGGCAAUGGGCGAAAGCCUGACGGAGCAACGCCGCGUGAGUGAUGAAGGUCUUCGGAUCGUAAAACUCUGUUAUUAGGGAAGAACAUAUGUGUGAGUAACUGUGCACAUCUUGACGGUACCUAAUCAGAAAGCCACGGCUAACUACGUG
RNAcentral lists this ribosomal RNA (497 nucleotides) under uncultured bacterium. RNAcentral's name for it is "partial 16S ribosomal RNA". It matches the Rfam family "Bacterial small subunit ribosomal RNA", at positions 28 to 507 of the family's 1533-position model. The record is from RNAcentral.